RNAcentral lists this ribosomal RNA (273 nucleotides) under uncultured prokaryote. RNAcentral's name for it is "partial 16S ribosomal RNA". It matches the Rfam family "Bacterial small subunit ribosomal RNA", at positions 524 to 796 of the family's 1533-position model. The record is from RNAcentral.
UACGGAGGAUCCAAGCGUUAUCCGGAAUUACUGGGCGUAAAGAGUUGCGUAGGUGGCAUUGUAAGCAAGUAGUGAAAGCGUUCGGCUCAACCGAAUAAACAUUACUUGAACUGCAAAGCUAGAGGAUAGGAGAGGUUAUUGGAAUUCCCUGUGUAGGAGUGAAAUCCGUAGAUAUAGGGAGGAACACCGAUGGCGUAGGCAGAUAACUGGCCUAUUCCUGACACUAAGGCACGAAAGCGUGGGUAGCAAACGGGAUUAGAAACCCUGUAGUCC